MicroRNA precursor from Oryza rufipogon (brownbeard rice), 201 nucleotides. It matches the Rfam family "MIR812 microRNA precursor family". The record is from Rfam. Lineage: Eukaryota; Viridiplantae; Streptophyta; Magnoliopsida; Poales; Poaceae.
AAUAAGUGUAGUUUUGCACUGUUCAUGUCCAACGUUUGACCAUUUGCCUUAUUUAAAAUUUUUUAUGAUUAGUAUUUUUUAUUAGAUGAUAAAACAUGAAUUGGACUUUAUAUGUGACUUUUUUUUUAACUUUUUCAUAAUUUUUUUUAAAUAAGACGGACGGUCAAACGUUGGAUACGGAUUCCCACGGCUGCACUUAUU